Molecule: ribosomal RNA, 216 nt
Filed under: uncultured bacterium
Lineage: Bacteria
Description: partial 16S ribosomal RNA
Rfam family: Bacterial small subunit ribosomal RNA
Source: RNAcentral
UACGUAGGGGGGCAAGCGUUGUCCGGAUUUAUUGGGCGUAAAGCGCGUGUAGGCGGCCAGGUAGGUCGGUUGUGAAAAUUGGAGGCUCAACCUCCAGACGUCGAUCGAAACCAUCUGGCUAGAGUCCGGAAGAGGAGAAUGGAAUUCCUGGUGUAGCGGUGAAAUGCGCAGAUAUCAGGAAGAACACCGAGUGGCGAAGGCAGUUCUCUGGGACGG